This 292-nucleotide ribosomal RNA is filed under the name uncultured bacterium. RNAcentral's name for it is "partial 16S ribosomal RNA". The record is from RNAcentral.
GGACUACUGGGGUAUCUAAUCCUGUUUGCUACCCACGCUUUCGUGCCUCAGCGUCAGUAAAAGCCCAGUAGGCCGCCUUCGCCACUGGUGUUCCUCCGAAUAUCUACGCAUUUCACCGCUACACUCGGAAUUCCGCCUACCUCUACUUCACUCAAGAACGAUAGUUUUGGAUGCAGGCUAUGGGUUAAGCCCAUAGGUUUCACAUCCAACUUACCGUCCCGCCUGCGCACCCUUUACACCCAGUAAUUCCGGACAACGCUCGCUCCCUACGUAUUACCGCGGCGGCUGGCAC